RNAcentral lists this ribosomal RNA (690 nucleotides) under Pseudodiaptomus annandalei. Its description in RNAcentral is "bacterial SSU rRNA". It matches the Rfam family "Eukaryotic small subunit ribosomal RNA", at positions 51 to 702 of the family's 1831-position model. Lineage: Eukaryota; Metazoa; Arthropoda; Copepoda; Calanoida; Pseudodiaptomidae. The record is from RNAcentral.
CUGCACGUGUAAGUAAAAGCUUCAUUAGGGUGAAACCGCGAAGUGGCUCAUUAAAUCACCAACCUAAGGUCUCUACUGGAAAGUUAAACAGUUACUUGCGAUAACUGAGCUAAUUGUUGAGCUAAUACAUGAUCGACGAAAAUCCCCGACUCACGCCUGAGGGGAGCUUUUAUUAGAUCAAAACCAGACGGCUUCGGCCGUAUCUCUGGCGACUCUGAAUAACUUUGGGCUGAUCGUAUUUGCCUCGUGCACACGACGUUUCCUUCAAAGGUGUGCCCUAUCAACUGUCCACUGUGAUAUAGACGCUCACAGUGGUUUUGACGGGUAACGGGGAAUCAGGGUUCGAUUCCGGAGAGGGAGCCUCUCUAAAAACGGCUACCACAUCCAAGGAAGGCAGCGGGCACGCAAAUUACCCAAUGACCGAAGGUCGAGGUAGUGACGAAAAAUAACGAUACCGGUCACUCAUCCGACUAAGAACGGCCCGGUAAUUGGAAUGAGUACACUUUAAAACCGUUCCCGAGGAAUCAAUCCUUCUGGAGGGCAAGUCUGGUGCCAGCAGCCGCGGUAAUUCCAGCUCAGCAAUAGCGUAUAUUAAAGUUGUUGUGGUUAAAAAGCUCGUAGUUGGAUCUCGGCGGGCAGCAGUCGGUGCGAUAGAUUUCGCUACUGGCUCGUUUGCUCGUGUGUUGUGUC